GGGCUUCAGCAUCUCCCCAGCCGUAUACGGCUUCUGAAAUCUCUGCUCAGCAACUUGCCUCCCGGUGGCUGAGAUCCUUGAAGUUCUACCCUCAAGAGCUGGACAAAAUUCAAGGUAGAGGAGUGCUAUAGUGGACACCAUGAUGUGCCAACCAAUUACCAAGACGUUCAUUCUCCCCGACACAAGGGAUGUUGGUUGCUCAUGGUUCACAGCAGAGUCUUUCUUUAGUUAUUGACCUCUGGCAAAGGAAGCUGUUCACCCAAAGUCACACCCCUUCCCAGGCCAGCUCACAUCCCAGUGACUGUCAGUGAGGGGUAAAAAGUCGUGGACUUCUUGCAUCGAUUUGGUCCAAACUGAAGAGGCAACCCCAGAUGCAGAGCUCUCUGUAGGCUUGGCUGAGACCUCUGUUAUUUCUGCAGGGACUUUCAACCUCUCUCUUGGCCCAGUCUUGCUUCCCUUACUCUCACAGGUGUUGCUCCCAAGGGUCCUACCUAAAACCCUUCUGGACAGACACCCAUGUCAAGACUGUUUCCUGUGGAACCUGACCUCUUAACAGGGCUAUCUUUUGGUUGUUAUUUCUAAUGUAAUUUUCAGUAAUGAAUUUUUCUCAUGCAUGUGUAUGGGAGUUUCUAUACCUAGCAGUGGAAUCACCAGAUUAAAGUGAAUAUGUAUCUCCAACUUUACUGGAUAUUGCUAACUAGUUCUCAGCUGUGCACUUCACAGCUUUGUUAAUAUUUUACGUUCCCAUCCCUUUCCUGGGUUACCUGUAUGUUACAGGUAGGUUUCAAAAAAAAGCUCACUUAGUAAGUCUCCAGCUUUUGAUAGAUUAGUUCGAGAUGUUCACUCUGAUUAUUAAUAUCAUUUUUCUUAAAGAGGUCUAGUUAAAUGACUUAGAUAGUUCAAAAUCUAGAAUCAGGGGUCAGACACUUGGACUCUCAUCCCCAUUUUGCCCAGGAUCAACUCCAUGGACUAGAGAGUUAUUUAUUCUCUCUGAAGUUCAUUCUUCUCAUCUUUUCAAUAUGGCAGUUGGACUAAGAGAAUCUCGUGGGCUCCAACCACUCUGACAGUAGAUGAUUCCCAGGGUUUGAUCCCAACCCUUCGCUGCACUACUGCCUACCUUGAAGUCAUACCUUCUCUUCUUAGAAGAAGAUGAAAUCUUUUGCUUAUCAUGGUGAUUAGGGGCUUGGGGCUAGCUUAGGAUGGGAGAAUGCCCAGAAAUUGGAACCAGAUAGACUGGCAUGGAUUUCUUCAUUUGUUUUGCUAUGGCUCUCCCCUCCCCCACCAACUUCCACCCAGCUCAAAUUCUGACUGACUUCCCACUAACUUGUCUAGAGACAGUGUCCACGAAUUCUUGUUUAAUAAUUUUUAUUUUGUUAUGAUUUAUCUCACAAAGUAAGUAAUAAAGAUUUGGUUCUUUAGAAGCUAAGGUUUUAGAUGGAUCAAUAUUUAUCGAAUAAAUAUUUAUUGAUACUA
This is a long non-coding RNA of Herpailurus yagouaroundi (jaguarundi), 1473 nucleotides long. RefSeq lists it as uncharacterized. The record is from RefSeq and is a predicted model, not a curated record. Lineage: Eukaryota; Metazoa; Chordata; Mammalia; Carnivora; Felidae. The transcript is spliced from 2 exons.